GAUACUACUUGACAAUUACAAGUUGCUCCCACUUGUUCUAACACAAACAUCUGAGUCAUCCUAAUAGGGUAGCUGAGAAGCUGAUGGCCAUCUUGCCUCUGUGAGGAGAGAAACUGCCUGAGGAGAACCCAGACAGGAAAGCAGAGCUGAGAGAGGGAGAGGGUGAGACUGUCUUCAGGACACUGUCUGGGUUCUGAAUCCAGCCACCCAUGAAAGCAAAUACCUUGAGUUUUUUAGCCAUGUGAGCCAAGAGAUUCCUUUCCUCAGGUCCUGCUGCUCAGCGUUCAUGGAAUGAUUAGAUCCAGAUUGUCCUGCUUUCAAACCUGCCGAUUUUUAUUCCUUGGUGAUGUCAGAUUCCAGACCAGCAGGACUUUCUGAGCAACUACUGGAGGAUUUCUUUGCAAGCACUAAUGGGCCAUUACUUCUAUAAAACGAUGGUCAGCGUCCAUGGUAGCUGGAGGAGUCCUCAGUGUUGAUCAGAACUACUCUGACCCCCUCACCUUCCAGGCACACGGGAGGAUUCAUCUUCCUGGCCCCCAUCUCACUGAGGUCUCGACAAGUGACUUGUUUUUACCAAUGAAAUGGGAGUGAAAAGAACUUGUUACUUCCGGGCAGAAUCUCUGAGAGUUGGGUAAUCCCACUUCCCCGCCCAUGGAAACAAGAGUCGAGGGGCAGCCUCUGUCCGCCUGCCCCCCCCCCACCCCGCGCCCGGCACCAGGACCCUGCCAACGUCCGGGGGGCCCAGAGUGUCGGGAGGUGAUAUCACUUGGGCGGCCUCAAGCUGCGAGGCUUGGGAAGAUACUUGCUCCAGCAGGCCCGGGGAUGUCCUGACGAGCAAGGCAGAGGCCGACUUCUCGCCUUUUCUUUUUUUCUUCCUUUUGACAUUUAACUGCCCCCAGGAAAUACAACCCCUUGGACAUUCUGACGCUCUGAUAGCUGGAGCGUGGGCGGUAUCCUGUGCGACAAGGACGACGGUUCUCAGGUCAGGGGCCACAAUACGGGCCCCCCUGUGCCGACCCAACCGGAGGCACACCUGUUUUUUUAAUCUGUGCGAUGAGGAAAUGAAUGCGUGGCCUGCACUUCUGCACAGGAUUUCAGCGGGAGGAAACGGUUUCGUGGCUGAAAAAGAGAAAGUUGAACGUUACCUGGCAGAGACUCCGCUAGGCCCGGGGAUGUCGUGAGGAACAAGGCAGAGGCAGACUUCUCGCGUAUUUACGUAUUGUCUAUGGUUUUCUGUUUCGUAGGGCGUGGGAAAGACCAGGGGCCUGUCACAAGAAAAGUGAACAAACAGGUAAAUAAAAUAAUUAAAACAUGGACAAGCAGUCCACCGGGAUUCCACGGGGGCUGAGGUAGAGCAUGACGAGGGGAGGCCUACUUGAGGUAGGGUGGCUGACAAGACCUUUUCUCAGGAGGUCACAUUGAAGUGACAAGCCGCAGGAUGCCAUGCAGCCGACGGGAAAGGAGUGGGGAGACGGCGUCCCAGGGAGCCCCGCCGGGGAGGACCAUCAGGAGGAAAGGCGUGCGGCCUGCUCUAGAGGCGGAGGCCUGCACUGCCCAAGCACAGGCGGGA
Non-coding RNA from Leptonychotes weddellii (Weddell seal), 1570 nucleotides. The record is from RefSeq and is a predicted model, not a curated record. NCBI's taxonomy places the organism in Eukaryota, Metazoa, Chordata, Mammalia, Carnivora, Phocidae.